CCUACGGGUGGCAGCAGUGAGGAAUCUUGCUCAAUGGGCGAAAGCCUGAAGCAGCGACGCCGCGUGAAGGAUGAAGGUCUUCGGAUUGUAAACUUCUGUUAAGUGGGAAGAAAUCUCUAUCUCUAAUACAGAUAGAGGAUGACGGUACCAUUAGAGAAAGCACUGGCUAAUCUCGUGCCAGCAGCCGCGGUAAUACGAGGGGUGCAAGCGUUAUUCGGAAUUAUUGGGCGUAAAGGGUGUGUAGACGGCAUGUUAAGUCAACUGUUAAAUUCCUCGGCCUAACUGAGGGUAUGCGGUAGAAACUGGCGUGCUAGAGGGUGAGAGAGAGAAGUGGAAUUCUCGGAGUAGCGGUAAAAUGCGUAGAUCUCGAGAGGAACACCGAUGGCGAAGGCAGCUUCUUGGCUCACUCCUGACGUUGAGGCACGAAAGCGUGGGGAGCA
Molecule: ribosomal RNA, 440 nt
Filed under: uncultured bacterium
Lineage: Bacteria
Description: bacterial SSU rRNA
Rfam family: Bacterial small subunit ribosomal RNA
Source: RNAcentral